AGCGAACGCUGGCGGCAGGCCUAACACAUGCAAGUCGAACGAACUCUUCGGAGUUAGUGGCGGACGGGUGAGUAACACGUGGGAACGUGCCUUUUGGUUCGGAAUAACUCAGGGAAACUUGUGCUAAUACCGAAUGUGCCCUUCGGGGGAAAGAUUUAUCGCCAUUAGAGCGGCCCGCGUCUGAUUAGCUAGUUGGUGAGGUAACGGCUCACCAAGGCGACGAUCAGUAGCUGGUCUGAGAGGAUGACCAGCCACACUGGGACUGAGACACGGCCCAGACUCCUACGGGAGGCAGCAGUGGGGAAUCUUGCGCAAUGGGGGAAAGCCUGAAGCAGCCAUGCCGGGUGAAUGAUGAAGGUCUUAGGAUUGUAAAAUUCUUUCACCGGGGACGAUAAUGACGGUACCCGGAGAAGAAGCCCCGGCUAACUUCGUG
RNAcentral lists this ribosomal RNA (433 nucleotides) under uncultured bacterium. RNAcentral's name for it is "partial 16S ribosomal RNA". It matches the Rfam family "Bacterial small subunit ribosomal RNA", at positions 29 to 507 of the family's 1533-position model. The record is from RNAcentral.